This 501-nucleotide ribosomal RNA is filed under the name uncultured bacterium. Its description in RNAcentral is "partial 16S ribosomal RNA". It matches the Rfam family "Bacterial small subunit ribosomal RNA", at positions 29 to 523 of the family's 1533-position model. The record is from RNAcentral.
AUUGAACGCUGGCGGCAUGCCUUACACAUGCAAGUCGAACGGCAGCACGGGUGCUUGCACCUGGUGGCGAGUGGCGAACGGGUGAGUAAUACAUCGGAACGUACCUUAUCGUGGGGGAUAACGCAGCGAAAGCUGUGCUAAUACCGCAUACGCUCUGAGGGGGAAAGCGGGGGAUCGCAAGACCUCGCGCGAUUAGAGCGGCCGAUGCCUGAUUAGCUUGUUGGUGGGGUAAAAGCCCACCAAGGCGACGAUCAGUAGCUGGUCUGAGAGGACGAUCAGCCACACUGGGACUGAGACACGGCCCAGACUCCUACGGGAGGCAGCAGUGGGGAAUGUUGGACAAUGGGGGCAACCCUGAUCCAGCAAUGCCGCGUGAGUGAAGAAGGCCUUCGGGUUGUAAAGCUCUUUUGUCAGGGAAGAAACACCGGCUCUAACACAGUCCGGGAAUGACGGUACCUGAAGAAUAAGCACCGGCUAACUACGUGCCAGCCGCCGCCGUAA